GAAGUAAAAUAAAUUUGAAAAUGUCAUAUUGAUGACUGAUAAUGGUUUAAUUUAAUUAUAAACCUUUUUAUGAAACUUAAUUUUUGAUUCCUAUUUUUGAAUGAAGUAUUGAUGCAGCGCAAGAAGAUGACAGUCUUGGAAGACUAGUCAAUGAUGACCACAUCUAUCCAAACUGCAAAAUGAAGAGGGUCAUAGCAGAGGGCAAGCCACAUCUUUGUCUUUUUGCUCUGAGAGACAUUAAGGCUGGAGAAGAAAUAACGUAUGACUAUGGAGGAUCUGAUUGGCCUUGGAGAAAACAGGUUUGUAACUCUUGAAUUGUGUGAUGUAGAUUAGUGAAUGUGCAUAUUUGCUUUCAUGAGGAGAUCGGUGAAGGAUUUGUGUUUCUUUUGUGAGAUUUAUUCUGCUACUGGUUUUUUAAUCUGAGUUUUUUUAAAUCAAAUGACAGUGAUUGCUAAUGCUAAUAAGUUUGAAGGGACAAAUACAGGAAAAAAGCCUUUUCUUCAGUACAGGGACAAUAUACUUAAGCUAAAUAACCAGAAGUGUGUUCUGCCACUCUUCAGCUUUCCUUAUUCUUAAUUACAGUAGUAUAUUAGCAGACAUCUGUGCUAAAUUGAAAAUUUAAUAAUCAAAUAUAACUGACUUUUAGUUGUAUACAGAGACUAUUUAAGUUGCAUCAUCAAUUGCAUGUUUCCUGUAUACAUGUACUUCAUAUUGUGACUGAUUCAUACAAGUGUUAAUGCUGAUAUGCUAAAUACAGAUAUUGAAUUCAUUUGUCAGGCUAAAGUGCAAGAAACUGCAUCUGAUACACUGUCAUCAGAGGAGGUUCCCCAGAGUCCUUCCCCCUCCAAGAUGCAGGCUAAAGUGCAAAAUACUGCAGCUGAUACACUGUCAUCAGAGGAGGUUCCUCAGAGCCCUUCGUUCUCCGAGAUGCAGGCUAAAACACAAGAAACUAGCGCUGAUACACUGUCAUCAGAAGAGGUUCCUCAGAGCCCUUCCCUCUCCGAGAUGCAGGCUAAAACACAAGAAACGGGCGCUGAUACACUGUCAUCAGAGGAGGUACCUCAGAGCCCUUCCCUCUCCCAUAUGCAGAGUUUACAAGAAGCAGGAGUCUUUCAUUCAAUGAAAACUAUAAAAUCAGAACCGCUUGUGAACUACACUGAUUCUGAUGAUGAGAGUCCAUCCAUAAGUCCUGACCAAUUGAAGUCAACAUGCCAGAUGACAAGACAACUAGAUUUGGAUGAGCACUUUGACUUUACAUCCGAUCCUAGUGGUGAGGAAUAUAUUCCUGGGACAAGUGAAGAGUCUUCUGAUAGUACAGACACAAGCAUAGCUCUCACGCCAGUUAAACAGGCAAAGAUAUUAAAACUUUGCAACCUAAAAAUGGAUGGUAACAAAGGUGAUUCACCAAAAAAUCUAAAUAAGUCCAUGAAGCAAAAGCACAACAGAGGGCGCCCACAAAAAAAAGGAAGCAACUUGGGUAGGAAACGUAAACUUCAUUCUUCAGACAGUCCUUCAACCAGUUGCUCAUCGAAAAGUAGAGGGGCAGACAAUCUAAACUCACUAAGUGAACUCAAGGACAGCCUACCUGUUUGUACCUCUUCCCCCUCUAAACAUGAAGUGAUUGAUGAUUCUGUCUUCAUACCUGGUGUAUGCAAGAAGGAAGAUGGGUCAAGAUUGUACAACAAAAAACAAUACUGUUUGUAUUGCAAGUCUGGAUAUAUAAAAAUGGCAAGGCAUUGGGAACGUGCUCAUCACAAUAAACCAGAUGUUGCACUGGCUUUGUCCUUCCCUAAAGGCUCCAAAGAAAGACGGCUACAUCUAGAGCAUGUAAGAAACAGAGGAAACUUUGCACACAAUGUUGAAGUAUUGAAUACUGGGACUGGAAAGCUUGUUUCUCGAAAACAACCAAAAAAGGACUGUUCAGGAAAAGAUUUCUUGCAUUGUGUAUAUUGUCAUGGCCUUUUCACCAAGAAAGUCCUGUGGCGACACAGGAAGAUCUGCAAGUUCAACACUGGUGUUGAACAAAAACUUGGUAAAACCCGUAUUCAGGCACUCUGUGCACUUGCUGUAAAACCGCCACCUGGUGUCAGAGAAGAGGUUUGGAAGUUGUUGAACAAGAUGGUCCAAGAUGAAGUAUAUCAUGCUGUUAAAGCUGACUCUAUGAUCAUGGAGUUUGGUGAGCAUCUUUGCAACAGAUUCGGACAUGAUGUUGCCAAACAUGAAUAUAUUCGCCAGAAAAUGAGAGAGCUCGGAAGGCUUCUAAUAUGCUCAAAGAAAAUCACUUCAUUGAAAACAAUUCAAGAACACGUCAAGCCCUCAAAUUUCAUGCAUGUCAUUAGGUCAGUAAAACAUCUAGCGGGUCAUGAUGGUGAAACCAAUACAUACAAGUGCCCAAGUCUUGCCCUCAAAAUUGGAUACACUUUAUCAAAAAUUUCAAUGCUUGUUGAAAGUCAAGCUAACGUACAGGGCAACAAGAGUGCAGCAAAAGAAGCUUGUGCUUUUCGACAAAUCUAUGAAAGCAGAUGGCAUGAAAUGAUAUCGGCUGCAUCCCUGAGAACAUUGCAGGAGUCUAAGUGGAAUUCUCCUCUUUUGCUCCCGUUUACAAAAGACGUCCAGACUCUCCAUUCUUAUUUAGAUCAGAAGCAAAAACAAUACUUGGAUGAGUUGUCCAAAGAAAGCUCCUCUCAGAUGUGGACACAGCUCACCAAGGUAACUCUGACGCAAGUCAUUCUGUUCAACCGGCGAAGAGCAGGGGAGGUGUCUCACAUGUCCUUAUCAGCAUAUUUGUGCAAAAAUCGAUCAAACCCUCAAGAAGAUAUGAAUGAGGCCCUCUCUGAUCUAGAGAAGAAGCUAUGUCAACAUUUCAGGAGAAUAGAAAUAAGAGGGAAAAGAGGAAGAAAAGUGCCUGUGCUUCUCACCCCAGCAAUGCAGACAACAAUAGAUCUGCUUGUCAGCAAGCGCAAAGAUUGUGGAGUUCUGCAGGAAAACCCUUACUUGUUUGCAAGACCAUGUGCAAUGACCUGUUACCGUGGGUCAGAUUGCCUUCGACAUUUUGCCAAGGUCUGUGGUGCAAAAACACCAGAAACUCUCACUUCUACAAAACUGCGUAAACAAACAGCAACCCUAUCUCAAGUUCUAAACCUCAGCAAUACAGAACUAGAUCAGUUAGCUGGUUUUCUUGGACAUGACAUACGAAUACACAGGCAGUUCUACAGACUUCCUGAGGGCACCCUCCAGCUUGCCAAAAUUAGCAAAGUCCUUUUGGCUCUGGAACAGGGACGCAUGACAGAAUUCAAGGGCAAAAGCCUUGAUGACAUCAUCAUUAAUCCAGAGGGUACUGUCUUUAGAUUUUUUUAA
This is a long non-coding RNA of Betta splendens (Siamese fighting fish), 3357 nucleotides long. The record is from Ensembl. NCBI's taxonomy places the organism in Eukaryota, Metazoa, Chordata, Actinopteri, Anabantiformes, Osphronemidae.